This 87-nucleotide transfer RNA is filed under the name Campylobacterota bacterium. Its description in RNAcentral is "Epsilonproteobacteria bacterium (hot springs metagenome) tRNA-Leu". It matches the Rfam family "tRNA". Rfam says of the family: Transfer RNA (tRNA) molecules are approximately 80 nucleotides in length. The record is from RNAcentral. Lineage: Bacteria; Pseudomonadati; Campylobacterota.
GCCCGGGUGGCGAAAUAGGUAGACGCAAGGGACUUAAAAUCCCUCGGUAGCAAUACCGUGCCGGUUCGAGUCCGGCCCCGGGCACCA